UUGAAAAGCUGAGCAUCGUGAGAGGCGGCGAAAAGUGACGUUUGCAGUCUUUUGCAGAGUAGAAACUGCAGCGCUGGACUGGGCAGUGCUGGCAUUCUUCAGCGCUGGCGGCAAAGUUAGAAAAGAAUUGCAGCGCUGAAAAGAAAAAUCAUGAACACCAAGAAUCAAAGUAUCCGCACAAGCAACCAAAAACUUAGGAAACACCAAAACAAAAACGGAAAACAAAGAACAAGAAAAACAAAAACAAAAACCAAACCACGGUGGGUUGCCUCCCACCAAGCGCUAGUUUUAGAGUCGCCAGCCCGACGUAGAGGAUCCCUUAACCAAAAUCGCUAUGAAACGUCAGCUGAAUUAGUCCUCGUGAAAGCACAUCAUCC
This 377-nucleotide long non-coding RNA is filed under the name Salvia miltiorrhiza (redroot sage). RNAcentral's name for it is "long non-coding RNA (SMIL_LNC013292)". The record is from RNAcentral. Lineage: Eukaryota; Viridiplantae; Streptophyta; Magnoliopsida; Lamiales; Lamiaceae.